GACGAACGCUGGCGGCGUGCUUAACACAUGCAAGUCGAACGGAAAGGCCCUGCUUUUGUGGGGUGCUCGAGUGGCGAACGGGUGAGUAACACGUGAGUAACCUGCCCUUGACUUUGGGAUAACUUCAGGAAACUGGGGCUAAUACCGGAUAGGAGCUCCUGCUGCAUGGUGGGGGUUGGAAAGUUUCGGCGGUUGGGGAUGGACGCGCGGCUUAUCAGCUUGUUGGUGGGGUAGUGGCUUACCAAGGCUUUGACGGGUAGCCGGCCUGAGAGGGUGACCGGGGACAUUGGGACUGAGAUACGGACCAGACUCCUACGGGAGGCAGCAGUGGGGAAUAUUGCACAAUGGGCGGAAGCGUGAUGCAGCAACGCCGCGUGCGGAAUGACGGCCUUCGGGUUGUAAACAGCUUUCGCCUGUGACGAAGCGUGAGUGACGGUAAUGGGUAAAGAAGCACCGGCUAACUACGUG
RNAcentral lists this ribosomal RNA (468 nucleotides) under uncultured bacterium. Its description in RNAcentral is "partial 16S ribosomal RNA". It matches the Rfam family "Bacterial small subunit ribosomal RNA", at positions 28 to 507 of the family's 1533-position model. The record is from RNAcentral.